RNAcentral lists this transfer RNA (68 nucleotides) under Cyrtodactylus auribalteatus (Golden-belted bent-toed gecko). RNAcentral describes it as "tRNA Lys". Lineage: Eukaryota; Metazoa; Chordata; Lepidosauria; Squamata; Gekkonidae. The record is from RNAcentral.
CUCUAUGUAGCUUACCCAAAAGCAAUGGCCUUUUAAGCCAAAGACGGGCCACCUCAGCCCCACAGAAC